Molecule: ribosomal RNA, 1549 nt
Filed under: Klebsiella pneumoniae
Lineage: Bacteria; Pseudomonadati; Pseudomonadota; Gammaproteobacteria; Enterobacterales; Enterobacteriaceae
Description: bacterial SSU rRNA
Rfam family: Bacterial small subunit ribosomal RNA
Source: RNAcentral
AAAUUGAAGAGUUUGAUCAUGGCUCAGAUUGAACGCUGGCGGCAGGCCUAACACAUGCAAGUCGAGCGGUAGCACAGAGAGCUUGCUCUCGGGUGACGAGCGGCGGACGGGUGAGUAAUGUCUGGGAAACUGCCUGAUGGAGGGGGAUAACUACUGGAAACGGUAGCUAAUACCGCAUAACGUCGCAAGACCAAAGUGGGGGACCUUCGGGCCUCAUGCCAUCAGAUGUGCCCAGAUGGGAUUAGCUAGUAGGUGGGGUAACGGCUCACCUAGGCGACGAUCCCUAGCUGGUCUGAGAGGAUGACCAGCCACACUGGAACUGAGACACGGUCCAGACUCCUACGGGAGGCAGCAGUGGGGAAUAUUGCACAAUGGGCGCAAGCCUGAUGCAGCCAUGCCGCGUGUGUGAAGAAGGCCUUCGGGUUGUAAAGCACUUUCAGCGGGGAGGAAGGCGGUGAGGUUAAUAACCUCAUCGAUUGACGUUACCCGCAGAAGAAGCACCGGCUAACUCCGUGCCAGCAGCCGCGGUAAUACGGAGGGUGCAAGCGUUAAUCGGAAUUACUGGGCGUAAAGCGCACGCAGGCGGUCUGUCAAGUCGGAUGUGAAAUCCCCGGGCUCAACCUGGGAACUGCAUUCGAAACUGGCAGGCUAGAGUCUUGUAGAGGGGGGUAGAAUUCCAGGUGUAGCGGUGAAAUGCGUAGAGAUCUGGAGGAAUACCGGUGGCGAAGGCGGCCCCCUGGACAAAGACUGACGCUCAGGUGCGAAAGCGUGGGGAGCAAACAGGAUUAGAUACCCUGGUAGUCCACGCCGUAAACGAUGUCGAUUUGGAGGUUGUGCCCUUGAGGCGUGGCUUCCGGAGCUAACGCGUUAAAUCGACCGCCUGGGGAGUACGGCCGCAAGGUUAAAACUCAAAUGAAUUGACGGGGCCCGCACAAGCGGUGGAGCAUGUGGUUUAAUUCGAUGCAACGCGAAGAACCUUACCUGGUCUUGACAUCCACAGAACUUUCCAGAGAUGGAUUGGUGCCUUCGGGAACUGUGAGACAGGUGCUGCAUGGCUGUCGUCAGCUCGUGUUGUGAAAUGUUGGGUUAAGUCCCGCAACGAGCGCAACCCUUAUCCUUUGUUGCCAGCGGUUAGGCCGGGAACUCAAAGGAGACUGCCAGUGAUAAACUGGAGGAAGGUGGGGAUGACGUCAAGUCAUCAUGGCCCUUACGACCAGGGCUACACACGUGCUACAAUGGCAUAUACAAAGAGAAGCGACCUCGCGAGAGCAAGCGGACCUCAUAAAGUAUGUCGUAGUCCGGAUUGGAGUCUGCAACUCGACUCCAUGAAGUCGGAAUCGCUAGUAAUCGUAGAUCAGAAUGCUACGGUGAAUACGUUCCCGGGCCUUGUACACACCGCCCGUCACACCAUGGGAGUGGGUUGCAAAAGAAGUAGGUAGCUUAACCUUCGGGAGGGCGCUUACCACUUUGUGAUUCAUGACUGGGGUGAAGUCGUAACAAGGUAACCGUAGGGGAACCUGCGGUUGGAUCACCUCCUUACCUUAAAGAA